CUAGCUGUAAACGAUGGAUACUAGGCGUUGAGAGUAUCGACCCUCUCAGUGUCGUAGCUAACGCGUUAAGUAUCCCGCCUGGGGAGUACGCGCGCAAGCGUGAAACUCAAAGGAAUUGACGGGGGCCCGCACAAGCGGUGGAGUAUGUGGUUUAAUUCGAUGCAACGCGAAGAACCUUACCAGGGCUUGACAUGUCCGGAACCCUGCCCAAAGGCGGGGGUGCCUACGGGAACCGGAACAUAGGUGGUGC
RNAcentral lists this ribosomal RNA (250 nucleotides) under uncultured Chroococcidiopsis sp. RNAcentral describes it as "partial 16S ribosomal RNA". It matches the Rfam family "Bacterial small subunit ribosomal RNA", at positions 796 to 1044 of the family's 1533-position model. Lineage: Bacteria; Bacillati; Cyanobacteriota; Cyanophyceae; Chroococcidiopsidales; Chroococcidiopsidaceae. The record is from RNAcentral.